RNAcentral lists this ribosomal RNA (253 nucleotides) under uncultured bacterium. Its description in RNAcentral is "partial 16S ribosomal RNA". It matches the Rfam family "Bacterial small subunit ribosomal RNA", at positions 524 to 776 of the family's 1533-position model. The record is from RNAcentral.
UACGAAGGGGGCUAGCGUUGCUCGGAAUCACUGGGCGUAAAGGGUGCGUAGGCGGGUCUUUAAGUCAGGGGUGAAAUCCUGGAGCUCAACUCCAGAACUGCCUUUGAUACUGAAGAUCUUGAGUUCGGGAGAGGUGAGUGGAACUGCGAGUGUAGAGGUGAAAUUCGUAGAUAUUCGCAAGAACACCAGUGGCGAAGGCGGCGUCCUGGACCAACACUGACACUGAGGAGCGAAAGCCAGGGGAGCAAACGGG